GAUGAACGCUGGCGGCGUGCCUAAUACAUGCAAGUCGAGCGAACGGACGAGAAGCUUGCUUCUCUGAUGUUAGCGGCGGACGGGUGAGUAACACGUGGAUAACCUACCUAUAAGACUGGGAUAACUUCGGGAAACCGGAGCUAAUACCGGAUGAUAUUUUGAACCGCAUGGUUCAAAAGUGAAAGACGGUCUUGCUGUCACUUAUAGAUGGAUCCGCGCUGCAUUAGCUAGUUGGUAAGGUAACGGCUUACCAAGGCAACGAUGCAUAGCCGACCUGAGAGGGUGAUCGGCCACACUGGAACUGAGACACGGUCCAGACUCCUACGGGAGGCAGCGUAGGGAAUCUUCCGCAAUGGGCGAAAGCCUGACGGAGCAACGCCGCGUGAGUGAUGAAGGUCUUCGGAUCGUAAAACUCUGUUAUUAGGGAAGAACAUAUGUGUAAGUAACUGUGCACAUCUUGACUGUACCUAAUCAGAAAGCCACGGCUAACUACGU
RNAcentral lists this ribosomal RNA (495 nucleotides) under uncultured bacterium. RNAcentral's name for it is "partial 16S ribosomal RNA". It matches the Rfam family "Bacterial small subunit ribosomal RNA", at positions 28 to 506 of the family's 1533-position model. The record is from RNAcentral.